RNAcentral lists this ribosomal RNA (692 nucleotides) under uncultured Bacilli bacterium. RNAcentral's name for it is "bacterial SSU rRNA". It matches the Rfam family "Bacterial small subunit ribosomal RNA", at positions 61 to 724 of the family's 1533-position model. The record is from RNAcentral. Lineage: Bacteria; Bacillati; Bacillota; Bacilli.
GUCGAACGCUUCUUUCCUCCCGAGUGCUUGCACUCAAUUGGAAAGAGGAGUGGCGGACGGGUGAGUAACACGUGGGUAACCUACCCAUCAGAGGGGGAUAACACUUGGAAACAGGUGCUAAUACCGCAUAACAGUUUAUGCCGCAUGGUAUAAGAGUGAAAGGCGCUUUCGGGUGUCGCUGAUGGAUGGACCCGCGGUGCAUUAGCUAGUUGGUGAGGUAACGGCUCACCAAGGCCACGAUGCAUAGCCGACCUGAGAGGGUGAUCGGCCACACUGGGACUGAGACACGGCCCAGACUCCUACGGGAGGCAGCAGUAGGGAAUCUUCGGCAAUGGACGAAAGUCUGACCGAGCAACGCCGCGUGAGUGAAGAAGGUUUUCGGAUCGUAAAACUCUGUUGUUAGAGAAGAACAAGGACGUUAGUAACUGAACGUCCCCUGACGGUAUCUAACCAGAAAGCCACGGCUAACUACGUGCCAGCAGCCGCGGUAAUACGUAGGUGGCAAGCGUUGUCCGGAUUUAUUGGGCGUAAAGCGAGCGCAGGCGGUUUCUUAAGUCUGAUGUGAAAGCCCCCGGCUCAACCGGGGAGGGUCAUUGGAAACUGGGAGACUUGAGUGCAGAAGAGGAGAGUGGAAUUCCAUGUGUAGCGGUGAAAUGCGUAGAUAUAUGGAGGAACACCAGUGGCGAAGGCGG